Molecule: long non-coding RNA, 304 nt
Organism: Anguilla anguilla (European eel)
Lineage: Eukaryota; Metazoa; Chordata; Actinopteri; Anguilliformes; Anguillidae
Exons: 3
Source: RefSeq, a predicted model, not a curated record
CCGUGUUAUUCCACAUAGCCAUAAUGCAUUUUUCUCAUUUUUGGCCUGGUCAGCUGGAGCAUGGAUAGAAAGGAUCCUGUCUUUAGUAGGACAUCUGUGUUCACACCUCUGUGAUGAUGUCAUUUAUCCACUGGAAGGGGUUAGCCAUGAUGUCAUAUCAUAUCUUUCUGGGUGGUCUUGGACUUGUGCUUUGCCUUAUUCUGGAUUAAGUACUGAGCAUAAACCUGUAGGGAUUCGGGAUACCUUCAGGGGUCUGGUGAUAUGCAAUAUUUUAACUGGAAAUAUUCAAUUAAACAUUAAGCUU